Molecule: long non-coding RNA, 866 nt
Filed under: Olea europaea subsp. europaea
Lineage: Eukaryota; Viridiplantae; Streptophyta; Magnoliopsida; Lamiales; Oleaceae
Source: RNAcentral
CUUACCUGCAGGUUUUGGAACUAAAAUCCAAGUCUCAUUUUUCAUUAAGGAGUCCAUUUCAUCUAUCAUAGCAGCAUGCCAGUUCUCAGACUGCUUGCAGCUCAUUGCCUCUUCAUAAGAUUUUGGUUCUUUAAACACUAAGUCAUGAUAGGACAAGACAGCAAGUGAAAGGUAAUCUCCAUACCUAACAGGCUCUCUUACUUCUCUCCUAGUCCUAUCUCUAGUUAAUUGGUAAUCUCCCAAUUCAUCAGGCUGACUUUCCAGAUUUUCUUGAACAUUUUCCUCUUCAUUUUCUUGAGGAUCAGAAGCUAUUUCAGCUUCUUCAUCUACCUGUUCAUCACUAACAGGUUCAGUAGGUAAACCAAGCUCCACCUGAAGCUUGGUACCAUCACCUCUUUCAUCACCAGGUACCCCUUUUGGUUCUUUAUUAUCUAAACAAGGCAUCUUUGACUCAUCAAAGGUAACAUCUCUACUGGUGAUGAUUCUAAAACCUUUUACUUCUUUACUCCAUAGCCUAUAACCUUUAACCCCAUCAGGAUAUCCCAAGAAAACACAUUUCUGGGCUCUAGGUUCAAGUUUUCCUAUACUUUGAUGGGAAUAGGCAGCACAACCAAAAAUUCUUAAAUGUGAAUAGUCAGGAACAUGUCCUGUCCAUAACUCUUCAGGGGUUUUAUCUCCUAGAGCACUUGAGGGGGUCCUAUUAACAAUAUAUGAGGCUGUCAUUACAGCUUCACCCCAUAACACCUUAGGGACACCUGAGCCUAUCAACAUGCACCUAACCUUAUCUAGCAAGGUUCUAUUCAUCCUCUCAGCCACUCCAUUCUGCUGAGGAGUAUAAGGUACAGUUUUAUGCCUUUUAAUACCAG